Molecule: ribosomal RNA, 698 nt
Filed under: uncultured bacterium
Lineage: Bacteria
Description: bacterial SSU rRNA
Rfam family: Bacterial small subunit ribosomal RNA
Source: RNAcentral
GGAAUUGCUUUGGAAACUGGAUGGCUUGAGUGUAGGAGAGGUUAGUGGAAUUCCCGGUGUAGCGGUGAAAUGCGUAGAGAUCGGGAGGAACACCAGUGGGCGAAGGCGACUAACUGGACUAUGACUGACGCUGAGGCGCGAAAGUGUGGGGAGCAAACAGGAUUAGAUACCUGGUAGUCCACACUGUAAACGAUGAAUGCUAGGUGUAGGGGGUAUCGACCCUUCUGUGCCGGAGUAAACACAAUAAGCAUUCCGCCUGGGGAGUACGGCCGCAAGGUUGAAACUCAAAGAAAUUGACGGGGGCCCGCACAAGCAGCGGAGCAUGUGGUUUAAUUCGAAGCAACGCGAAGAACCUUACCAGGUCUUGACAUCCAGGUAAACUUGCAGAGAUGCAAGGUGUGCUUGCACAAUCUGAGACAGGUGGUGCAUGGUUGUCGUCAGCUCGUGUCGUGAGAUGUUGGGUUAAGUCCCGCAACGAGCGCAACCCUUGUGAUUAGUUACUAACGGGUAAAGCCGAGGACUCUAAUAAGACUGCCGGGGACAACUCGGAGGAAGGUGGGGACGACGUCAAAUCAUCAUGCCCCUUAUGACCUGGGUCACGCAACAGCUACAACCACCAUUACGCCAAGAAGUGAAGGUGACAGGAAGGAAUAAUCUAAAAAAGCAUCUAACGCUUUGGGAGCUGUGCCACAAGCUGG